GCAUAACAUGUCUAAUUAAGUGGAAGGCAUCUGGGUAUCUAAUUAGAGUCCACUCAUUACAGACAGUGGACAGUGCAGUUCGCUUAGCCCAUCGCUGCUGCUACUGAAAAACUGAUUACUGGGAUUUAAGUUGGCUGAAGGCAACACCCUGCUGCUACCACUCUGACUGGAACAGGUUAAGCAAACGGUGGCCAGAUGAAAAAUCUUUCCUUAAUCGCACUCGACAACCGGUGACGACAGCACGAACUCAACAUUCCACGUGAGCCCUGUGGCGUCAAACCACUCAUUAAAAAAGGCCCGAAACCUUUUCGCCUGCUACCGUUUGUGCUAAAUCAAUGCCUGAGAAAAAAAGAGGGGGGGGGAGACGAUGCUCUGUUGCAGUGACGGACCGUUUCGCAACAAUCGCUGGAUUUUAACAACACAUCAUGUGUUUUGUUUUAGAGUAGAAACAUGCCUGGAAAUACAUGAAGUUUGACCGUUUCAUUAUGGGAUUCUUGAAAUUUAGGAAUGAGGAUGACGAAGAAGCAUGGUUUAGUAAAAAUUAACUGCUUUACUAGUGCUAUCAUGUUUAUAUUCAUUGUAUGGAGUGUACAGCAGUCAUUGCUUAAAGAGGGCUAGCAUGGUUUAACUAUUAUGCACAAGGUUACACAACUUCAAUUAUGAAGAAUAUGGUGUAUGCUUACUUGUGUAUGCUUAAAUAAAAUAUCUAAUAUUUUCAAAAUAGAGGUGUGUGUUUCACGGUUGCUGUGUGUUACGUUUCGGUGUUGUCAGUGUUUUGUUUUUGCGUGACUGUCAUGUGUUUCCUGUUUUACUUUGAAGGUCUGUUGUUAUCUUAGUGUGUUCAGUUUACGUUUCCUUGUCUCGUCAGGUCUAAUUUGCCCCAGCUGUGUUUCCCUCCUGUGGUCCAUUCCCUGAUUGCUCCUUCUAUGUAUUUAAGCCCUGUGUGUCAGUUGGUCAUGGUUGCGAUCUCCCCCGUGUUGUAAAUAGAUUUGUCGAUACUUUAGUUUUGGGAUUUUGGUGGAGAGCUGUAGUUUUUUUUUUCUUAUUUUUAUUUUCAUACGUUGCACGCCGGUUGCCUAGGCCGGGGUGUAACACUGUGGAGGAAUCAAAGUUUGACAAAGAGAUGUGUCCUGCUGAAAAAUGCAGCCGUCAACGUGGUUUUGGGCGAAUGCAUUUGCCGUCCAGUCAGCAGCUAAGAAAACGUGCAUGAAUUCGUAAUGGCUCAGAAAUCAAUGAGGCUUUAGCAGCGAAACGACAAAUCACUCGAAGCCUACUCGAGUCCAACAUUAGACUGCAUUUGCUUUCGCAUGUAUCAAUACGAGAGCGACCGCCGGCUCGACUGUUUGGCUGAGCAGGCGAAACGAGGCGGUGGGAUUUUAUAGCUGACUCGUUAUUUGUAGUCUGUUUUGACAAUUCCCAACACAGCUGCAGGAAAACUGAGGCACGUCAGGUAAACACAAAGCUGUGUUACUGCCUCCGAAGGAAAGAGGAGGGGAGGGAAAGUAUAACACACAAAAUAAAACACAGCUGGAAGGUGUGGAUCAGCGCGCCAAGUGCCCUGCAGUCUGCAG
This is a long non-coding RNA of Astatotilapia calliptera (eastern happy), 1571 nucleotides long. The record is from Ensembl. Lineage: Eukaryota; Metazoa; Chordata; Actinopteri; Cichliformes; Cichlidae.